UUGUUGCUUUUUUUUCAAUGACUUUUCAGUGUGUGUAACAUUUUCCAGAAGAACUUGUUUUACUGUAAACCCUGUGACAUACAGUAGCAGUAUAACGCUUCUGGAAACUUGUCUUGGCCCCAGUAAAGCCCAGAGAAGGCACUACAAGCAAUGCCAAGCACUGUGGCCGGACUCUGACACUGACAUGGUAGAAUACAACAGGUGAAAAAAGAAACAGCUGGCCCUAAAUGAAUACAGUACUAAUAAAUAAAACACUUUGGAGAGGAGAAAAAUGACAAUCUCCAUGGAAAGCUAAGGAAACCUCCUAAAUAACUCAAGAUUUUUUAAUAUGGCCUCUUCAUGAUGUAACUCACUUUACAAUUUAGUUAUGGGUGCAGUAUUUAUACAGUAUAAAUAGAUAUAUUCCAAGAUAAUUUUGUAAAGUGGGCAAUGAAGCAUUCAUCUUUAUGAUUGGUUCACAGAUUACUGUCAACUCUGCCCAGCUUUUUUUUUAAAUAGGCCAUUCUGUCAUUCACCAACUGAAAUAUCGUCUUAUAUGACAUUUCAUGGAUUACUGUUGGACCAAUCACAAUACGCAACUGGCAAGGGUUUUACCUCUUUAGAGGCUAUGGUUCUAAAGAGAGAAGUACAUGAAAGUAUGUUAUUUCAUUGUAAAAAAAACAUUUGGUUUGUUUUUUAUGUUGUUUAAUAUCCUUUCUUCAUUGCCCUGUUGCAACAGAAAGAAUAAGGUUCUGGAUCCCGAGAUGAAGUUAAACAGAAGAGUUUAUUGCAUGCAAGGAACAAUAAAGCCGAAGUCUUGUUUCCCGCAAGAAACAACAAAACAGAAGUAUUGUUCAAGGUGCCGGUACAUACUUUAGGUUUAUAUAGUCCUUCCUUGCUGCUUCUGACGACACUGUUAUUAUGGUUAAGGGGGGAGGUCACGUGUUUGGCCAGUUUACAGCUUUUUGGCCAAAUGGUCAGAGAUUAAGUCCCCAGGGGGUUCCCUAGCUCUCCUAGCUCGCAUCUGGAAUCCUUAUCAGUUAACCCCCUAACUACCAUAAACUCCUGUUGCUUAGAAGUCUAAUCUUCAUGCAGAAAGGACUUAAAGUUAACAUCUUGUAUCCUUCUUCAGCCCCUAUACCAGUGCUAUUCUGAAAUCAAGAAACUCUGAGCUUAUUGGCAAGAGAAAGUGUAGUGGAGCUGCGAAGAGAGAGUAGGUGCUCUCUUUCUACUUUCGUUAUUCUUUUUGUAGGCCUUUCAGCACUUUGAAAAAUAAAUUGUCUCCCGAAGUGAUUUACGUUACCUGACUAUGAAGCAUGGUACUGAAGUCUGUUGUUUCAGUGAUUUUUUCUUCAGAUUGUUUUAGUAACUUCUCCACACAACAAGAGUUGUGUAGCUCUUCCACAACCUUCUGCUGCUCCUGGGAACCUCAACACUUCGGUGGCCAGCUAUGACUCUGAAGAUUCAUUAUCAUGUUGAAGGUCGCUUCAUUUAUCCAGGCUCUACCUAAUAGGUUGGGACCAGCUCCUACUGCUACCCAAUGCUGCUGAAAACAAAGUCUCCCAAGAAAAGCAGUGGACUCAGUAUCAGUCUUGUUGCAAUGACUUUGAAAGUGCAGGUAGGAGGAAGAAUGGUGUCUUGAAGGCUUGCAACAGAAGCACCACAGUGUAUUCAGUACAGUAUUGAUUUUAUUAUUGUUUUGAUGUCUAUUUUGGACUUCCUUCCCUGUUGCUCAACUAUCAUUUGGUGUUUUAUUUGUAACAGCAUU
This is a long non-coding RNA of Lepisosteus oculatus (spotted gar), 1747 nucleotides long. RefSeq lists it as uncharacterized. The record is from RefSeq and is a predicted model, not a curated record. NCBI's taxonomy places the organism in Eukaryota, Metazoa, Chordata, Actinopteri, Semionotiformes, Lepisosteidae.